This 395-nucleotide unclassified non-coding RNA is filed under the name soil metagenome. RNAcentral's name for it is "partial contains 5.8S ribosomal RNA, internal transcribed spacer 2, and large subunit ribosomal RNA". The stretch from base 1 to 120 matches the Rfam family "5.8S ribosomal RNA", at positions 35 to 154 of the family's 154-position model. The record is from RNAcentral.
GAUGAAGAACGUAGCGAAAUGCGAUACGUAAUGUGAAUUGCAGAAUUCAGUGAAUCAUCGAAUCUUUGAACGCACCUUGCGCCUUUUGGUAUUCCGAAAGGCACACCUGUUUGAGCGUCAUGAAUACCUCAAUCUCCAUCUUUUCUUCGGAUUGAUGGGUGACUUGGAUGUUGAGCCCUGCUGGUAUGCUAUAUCAGCUGGCUUUAAACUUAUUAGCCGGCUCUGUACUGGAUCGGUUUGACUCGACGUGAUAAUAUUAUCGUUGAGGAUGCAUGUCUCAUGCAGCCGGAAAGUAUCAAAGCAGCUUCUAGCUUGCCUUUAGUGCACUUUUACACUUUAGACCUCAGAUCAGGUGGGACUACCCGCUGAACUUAAGCAUAUCAAUAAGCGGAGGA